Molecule: non-coding RNA, 1957 nt
Organism: Arachis ipaensis
Lineage: Eukaryota; Viridiplantae; Streptophyta; Magnoliopsida; Fabales; Fabaceae
Source: RefSeq, a predicted model, not a curated record
ACAAAGAUCUUUCGAUUUCAAUGGUAGCAUAUGUGAUUUUAAAGGUAGUGAUUAUAGGGGCAUACACUACAAGAUUAAUAUUGAUUUGAGGGAGUAUUUUAGUGAAGGUUUUUAAAAACCUCCACAAUACAUUUUAUUUAUGGCACUUUAAAAAACCUCCACUCAUAAUUAAUUAAAAUUCAAAAUUAAAAAAAACGUCAUUUUCUCUUUUUUCUCAAAAUGAAAGGUGCAGAGUCAGCUGAGAGAGAAUAAACCCUAAGUUUUUCACGCCAUUUUUGCCGCCGUUCUCGCUGCGGUUUUCGCUGACGGUGCUGUUACCACUGUCGUGCCCGUUGCAAUAGAGAGCUUCUAGAUCGAGUCACCCCUUCUAUCAACGCGUUUUCGGAUUUGUUCUCUCUGUCUGUCGUUGCUGCCACUUUGCCAUCGCAGUUUCUGCCACCAUUGCUGCCACAGGUUCUGCCGUCGAUGCCACCGUAGUUGCCGUGGUACAAUGCAUUUGCAGAUCUGUUCACUCCCGAGCUGCUUCUUCAACGUCGCUUUCUCUCACUCCAAUUUCUCCUUUGAAUUGACGCUGGGAUUUAUUUAACAUAUUCAAAUGGUAUCACUUGGAAAAAGGCUAGUUCCUCAUGGCUUAUUUGUAGAACUUUAAAGGAAGAAGUGAAUAUUACAGGACCACUUGGAUUUCAAAAUGAGGAAUAUAAUGGGAGCUUGCUUACUUUGGUCUAUAGGCCAUACUCAUGAACAAAGAGAAAGAGGGUGUAUCUUUAUCUCAUAGAAGAAUCUACAGUUAGCAUAAAGUCAUCUGAAUAGUCUUAAUUGGUGAAAUCUGCUAUUCGGCAAGGCAGGAGAAGUAUGCCGGUUAAUGGAUAUGAGGCAAGGGUUGUCAUGGCUCUUUUGCAAUGUGCUGAGACGUUGCAGGGUGAUCUAAAAGUGGCCAUAAAGGAAGACAAGGACUGGUAUAGUCGUUUCAUGCCUCUUACAGAAGUGAUCAUGGAAUUUGUCGUUAAUUGAUCUUUAGUUAAAAUGAUAGAACAAAUUGAGGUAAAUAAGAACUCACUUUAUGUAAAUUAUAUUUGUGUGAACUCACUUUUUUGAGACUAUGUUUUCUUAUCCAUUAGCAGCAAUGAAACACUACAAUAAUGGGCUAAAAGAGGUAAAUUAACUUCUUAGUCCUAGUCUUCUAUUGAUUUCUUUUUAUUAUAGUACCUUUAUUAAACAAUAAAAAGAAAAAUUCUUCUCUGUGAUGUUUUUCAGGAAGAGCAAUACAAUAGAAUUGACGUUUAUUCUCUCUUUAGUGAUAGUAAGAUACAUUUAUUUAUAUAUUUAUAAGAGUUUAUAUUAACUUAUUUUUAUUUUGAAAUUGAAGUGCUGAAGGUGAAGGAGGAAAGGAGGAGUAUUGGGAUGGUUAUCACUCCGUCCUCCAGAAAUUGUUUGGGCAGGCAGAGACCCAAAGGUCGUAGAAGAAGUAGCCGCCAGGAGAAAGAAAAAAUGUUGAAUGGAUCUUAGAAGAAUUGAACCACUAAUGUCCAGUUUGUGAUCAUUAUAACUAAUCAAGUUAUAAUGAACCUCAGCCAUCGAAAGAUUUCAUUCAAACUCAGGGAACAGCAUUGGUGGUACUCGUCGGACUUGUCGUUGGUUACCACCACUAGUUCCUCAAAGCUUGGAAGAGAGAGUUUCAUAGAUCUUAACCUCCUUGCCUUAGCUGAAGAAGAUGAUGCGAACCAAUUCGAGGAUUCCGCGGUUUCAGAUGCAGAUUUUGUGAAUCCGGUGAAGGUUUUUCCUAGCUGAAAGUUUUUUUUUUCACGAUGACUAUAAUGAUUAUUUUAGUUGUUAUUGAUCCAAAAAGGUACUAAAAAGUUUUGGUUCAUUAUUUUUCUUUCUUUUUUCUAUUUUCUCUUCUCAAGAACAAUUUUUAGAUUUGUUCAGUUACAGCUAAUUGGAAUAAUAUGGUUUACUC